UCUCGAUUGGUCUAGUGGUGAGGAUACCUGCUUGUCAUUCUACAAUUCGCAGGUGGCCGGGGUUCGAUUCCCCGAUCGAGAG
Molecule: non-coding RNA, 82 nt
Organism: Xylaria longipes
Lineage: Eukaryota; Fungi; Ascomycota; Sordariomycetes; Xylariales; Xylariaceae
Source: the annotation of a GenBank genome assembly